UACCUGCAGCUCAAGUGGUGAUCAUUAUUAUUGGGCCUAAAACGUCCGUAGCCGGUUUAGUAAAUGCCUGGGUAAAUCGUGUAGCUUAACUAUACGAAUUCCGGGUAGACUACUAAACUUGAGACCGGGAGAGGCUAGAGGUACUCCUGGGGUAGAGGUGAAAUUCUGUAAUCCUAGGGGGACCACCAGUGGCGAAGGCGUCUAGCUAGAACGGGUCUGACGGUGAGGGACGAAGCCCUGGGGCACAAACCGGAUUAGAUACCCGGGUAGUCCAGGGUGUAAACGCUGCUUGCUUGAUGUUAGUUGGGCUCCGAGCCAAACUAGUGUCGGAGAGAAGUUGUUAAGCAAGCUGCCUGGGAAGUACGGUCGCAAGGCUGAAACUUAAAGGAAUUGGCGGGGGAGCACAGCAACGGGUGGAGCGUGCGGUUU
RNAcentral lists this ribosomal RNA (429 nucleotides) under uncultured archaeon. RNAcentral's name for it is "bacterial SSU rRNA". It matches the Rfam family "Archaeal small subunit ribosomal RNA", at positions 474 to 903 of the family's 1478-position model. The record is from RNAcentral.